GGGUGUAGCUCAGAGGUAGAGCACAUGCUUAGCGUGCAUGAGGUCCUGGGCUCAAGCCCCAGUACAUCCG
This 70-nucleotide transfer RNA is filed under the name Camelus bactrianus (Bactrian camel). It matches the Rfam family "tRNA". From Rfam's summary of the family: Transfer RNA (tRNA) molecules are approximately 80 nucleotides in length. Their secondary structure includes four short double-helical elements and three loops (D, anti-codon, and T loops). RNAcentral also lists the same sequence under 1 other name. Lineage: Eukaryota; Metazoa; Chordata; Mammalia; Artiodactyla; Camelidae. The record is from Rfam by way of RNAcentral.